This 658-nucleotide long non-coding RNA is filed under the name Phasianus colchicus (ring-necked pheasant). RNAcentral's name for it is "lncRNA (ENSPCLG00000003187.1)". The record is from RNAcentral. Lineage: Eukaryota; Metazoa; Chordata; Aves; Galliformes; Phasianidae.
GAAUGCAUUUGUUCUAAAAAAUAAAACAGACUUCUCUUAUUUUCUUUGCCAGAAAAUCAUAUGACAAACAAUUCUGUCUCAGAGCUUCUAUGAAUGGGAGAAAGGAAAGUCAGCCUAAUUGAAGUCAGGAAGUAUUUGCUCCUUCACCAGUGGAGAGGAUGGAGAGAAGGCAGUAAUGAUAUGCAGCAGGAAAAGAUUGGAGUGCUACUGAGAGGGGAGAUUUUAUGCACAUACUCAUAGACUGGAAGAAACGUGCAUACAUGCUCAUUCAUAGCUGCCAGCAACAGGAAAGGGCCAUCCCCACAGUCACAAACACUCCUCCAGAGUCCAAGAUCUCAGUGGAAGUUUUUGAAGUGCUGCUGCCCUGGACGUGCCAUGAUUCAAACUUUGCCCAUGCCCUCAGAGAAUAUUAUUCAAACCUGCCUGAAGAACAGAAUAAAUCAAUUUUUGGAGGAAAAUACAUGCCUUUGAAUCGUCCUGCUAUUUCAAACUGAAUAAAAGCAUCUGUUGUCCACACAAGUUAAAUCUGAGCUGUACUGAGUGAGGUGAGCAUGCAACAGAUGUUCUCUCUCCAAACUCCUGUCUCCAGUACACACAUUAGAAAAGUUAUUGUGUUUGCAUCAUCGCUUGAUAAAUAAAUAAUUUCUCUGUGUAGGCA